UACGGAGGGAGCUAGCGUUGUUCGGAAUUACUGGGCGUAAAGGGCGCGUAGGCGGUCUUGUAAGUCUUGUGUGAAAUCCCUCGGCUUAACUGAGGAACUGCACAGGAUACUGCGAGACUUGAGUUCGGGAGAGGGAAGCGGAAUUCCGGGUGUAGCGGUGAAAUGCGUAGAUAUCCGGAGGAACACCGGUGGCGAAGGCGGCUUCCUGGACCGACACUGACGCUGAGGCGCGAAAGCUAGGGGAGCAAACGGG
Molecule: ribosomal RNA, 253 nt
Filed under: uncultured bacterium
Lineage: Bacteria
Description: partial 16S ribosomal RNA
Rfam family: Bacterial small subunit ribosomal RNA
Source: RNAcentral